Molecule: unclassified non-coding RNA, 257 nt
Filed under: Hevea brasiliensis (rubber tree)
Lineage: Eukaryota; Viridiplantae; Streptophyta; Magnoliopsida; Malpighiales; Euphorbiaceae
Source: RNAcentral
GCAUGAACAGGUGCCAUCUUAAUUCUGGUAGCUCGAAUAGCAGUGGCAUAAUAUUCCCUUGUACUCCAGGAGAAUUCAUCAGGCAGUUCUUUAACUAUAGAAAUGUCAUCCUUCAACACAUUAAUAAAGUGAUCGACAUUGAAUAUAUCCAUGAAUGAACUUGAAUCUUGCCAAACAGGAUUGAUUUCAAAAUGUGGGAUGACAAGUGUUGCAUUCAGUAUUUUAGCAACUGCCACUGCAUCACAUAUCCCCAUUCU